Molecule: ribosomal RNA, 253 nt
Filed under: uncultured bacterium
Lineage: Bacteria
Description: partial 16S ribosomal RNA
Rfam family: Bacterial small subunit ribosomal RNA
Source: RNAcentral
UACGUAGGGGGCAAGCGUUGUCCGGAAUUAUUGGGCGUAAAGCGCGUGUAGGCGGCUUUGCAAGUCGGGUGUGAAAUCCCUCAGCUCAACUGAGGAAGUGCGCCCGAAACUGCAGAGCUUGAGUACCGGAGAGGAUGGUGGAAUUCCCCAAGUAGAGGUGAAAUUCGUAGAUAUGGGGAGGAACACCGGUGGCGAAGGCGACCAUCUGGACGGAUACUGACGCUGAGACGCGAAAGCGUGGGUAGCAAACAGG